AGGACGAACGCUGGCGGCGUGCUUAACACAUGCAAGUCGAACGGUAAGGCCUUCGGGUACACGAGUGGCGAACGGGUGAGUAACACGUGGGUGAUCUGCCCUGCACUUUGGGAUAAGCCUGGGAAACUGGGUCUAAUACCGAAUAUGACCAUUGGUUGCAUGACUGGUGGUGGAAAGCUUUUGCGGUGUGGGAUGGGCCCGCGGCCUAUCAGCUUGUUGGUGGGGUGAUGGCCUACCAAGGCGACGACGGGUAGCCGGCCUGAGAGGGUGUCCGGCCACACUGGGACUGAGAUACGGCCCAGACUCCUACGGGAGGCAGCAGUGGGGAAUAUUGCACAAUGGGCGCAAGCCUGAUGCAGCGACGCCGCGUGAGGGACGACGGCCUUCGGGUUGUAAACUGCUUUUAUUUGUGACGAUUAUGACGGUAGCAGAUGAAUAGGAUCGGCUAACUCCGCGCCGAGCAGCCGCGUAA
This 472-nucleotide ribosomal RNA is filed under the name uncultured bacterium. RNAcentral describes it as "SSU rRNA". It matches the Rfam family "Bacterial small subunit ribosomal RNA", at positions 26 to 522 of the family's 1533-position model. The record is from RNAcentral.